AUGGGCGACUCAUCCUCGGCUUCCUACAUCAGAAUGGUGCACCAUCUGAUAGAGAAGUGCAUUUGCUUCAACCUCAACAAGGAGGGGUGCAUGGAGGCCCUGGAGAAGCAUGCCAAGAUCAACCCGGUCGUCACUGCCACUGUGUGGAAAGAGCUGGAGAAGGAGAACAAGGAGUUCUUCGAGUCUUACAACAGGGACCGCGUGGAGCGGAACAUCGAGGCGGCGACGAUGGAGCGGAUCCAGAAGAUGCUCUCCGACGCGGCUGCCUCCAAGACCUCCGACGACGAUGAGGGCUAG
Molecule: ribosomal RNA, 297 nt
Filed under: Triticum aestivum (bread wheat)
Lineage: Eukaryota; Viridiplantae; Streptophyta; Magnoliopsida; Poales; Poaceae
Description: partial small subunit ribosomal RNA
Source: RNAcentral